UGUCCGGAUUUACUGGGUGUAAAGGGUGCGUAGGCGGCUUUGCAAGUCAGAUGUGAAAUCUAUGGGCUCAACCCAUAAACUGCAUUUGAAACUGUAGAGCUUGAGUGAAGUAGAGGCAGGCGGAAUUCCCCGUGUAGCGGUGAAAUGCGUAGAGAUGGGGAGGAACACCAGUGGCGAAGGCGGCCUGCUGGGCUUUAACUGACGCUGAGGCACGAAAGCGUGGGUAGCAAACAGGAUUAGAUACCCUGGUAGUCCACGCUGUAAACGAUGAUUACUAGGUGUGGGGGG
This 288-nucleotide ribosomal RNA is filed under the name uncultured bacterium. Its description in RNAcentral is "partial 16S ribosomal RNA". It matches the Rfam family "Bacterial small subunit ribosomal RNA", at positions 542 to 829 of the family's 1533-position model. The record is from RNAcentral.